UCCCGGUUGGCCCGGGCAGUCUCGCAUGAAAAAUACAACAUACGACAAGGGUUGCGCUCGUUGCGGGACUUAACCCAACAUCUCACGACACGAGCUGACGACGGCCAUGCAGCAUCUGUCACCUAUCCAGCCGAACUGACCUCCUAGUCUCCUAGGAGUACGAUAGGGAUGUCAAGGGUGGGUAAGGUUCUACGCGUAGCAUCAUAUUAAACCACAUGAUCCACUGCUUGUGCGGAGCCCCGUCAAUUCCUUUGAGUUUUAAGCUUGCGCUCGUACUCCCCAGGCGGCAUAUUUAACGCGUUAGCUUCUCCGCACAGAGGGUCGAUACUCCAUACGAAUAAUAUGCAUCGUUUACGGCGUGGACUAC
Molecule: unclassified non-coding RNA, 367 nt
Filed under: uncultured bacterium
Lineage: Bacteria
Description: contains 16S-23S intergenic spacer region
Source: RNAcentral